GUGCCUCUUGUGACUGAGGGACCCAGGCACUACAACAAUGAGAAAACCAGGACAUAUGUUAUUAAACUCCCAAAGUACAUCUUUUGAGCUGAAAGAAGAAUUUCCCAAUGAAUUAAAUAUGAGAACUCUUUUUAUUUCUCAUAAUGCCCUCUCAUGACGUCUUCUUGGAGACUUCAUGAAGACUUCAUGAAGAGAAGAGGUCUUCUCAUGAAGACCUCUCAAAAUAUGUAUUUCCUAGAACAGAGUUUAGGGUCAUGGUGACCAACAUAUAUUUUCAUAAUAACUUUGGAUGAUAGGAAUAACAAUGUUAAAAACCUUGUAAGGCAUCCACAAAGAAAUAAAGAACUAACUACAAUGGAGCAAAUAAUCAGGAUGACCUAGGCUUAUCCUUUACAACAUCAGGUGCCAAAAGGAACUGGGAACGAUGCCAGAUUUUUGAGAGGAAAAUGUGGUAAUCCAACAAUUCAGUCUUACGCCGAAUUAUAUUUUAUGUGUUAGAGCAUCUGACAACUACUCUCAGAAUAGGAAAAAGUUUAUGUACUACUUAAAAAAAUUCUUGAAGACAUACUCCAAAAGAUCAAGAAAUGAAAAAUUAGAAUUAAAAAUCCCAAAGUCAGAGUAAUGCUUCAACAAUAUUCUGUAAAACUCCAUUACUACAAAACACCCUUAUGCCAGACAUAUUACAACACACUUUACAAUACAUUAGUAAACUCACAAAUAAUUAGAGAGAGUCCUCAUAUACUAGGAAAGAAUGAAGAAUAAACUGAAAUCACAAAAGGGUGAACUUAAAUUCAAACACUACUAACUUUACGGCAAAACUGAUUCAAGGAACUAGAAAUCUAGAAUAAAAAAUAAUCUCAUACAAUUCAAUAACAAUAGCAACAGCAACAACAACAACAAAAAGCAACCCAAUUGAAAAACAGGAGUUCCUGUCGUGGCGCAGUGGUUAACGAAUCCGACUAGGAACCAUGAGGUUGCGGGUUCGGUCCAUGCCCUUGCUCAGUGGGUUAACGAUCCGGCGUUGCCCUACUGAAUUUAGAAUAAUCUACUAUUGAAGUUGUUAAAAAAAAAAAAAUCAUGGAGAAACACCUAACCAAACUCUCUCAACACACAAAAUACUCUAAAGUUAUGAAAGCUUGUCUAGUUAUUUACACUGAUGAUGGUAUGAAAGAAAAGUAUACCCAAUUAGAAGUGAAAGUACUUUUAUGUUAAUAAUUUUAGUAUAACAAAUAAGACAAAAUAAAAUAAAUAUUACACUCAACUCCAAAAGUUAAAUGUUUAAUAAGAUUUGUAAUUGAAAGAAUAAGAAUUGUGAAAGAACUUACAUAUUCUGUAUCAAUAACUCCAGAAUAUUUAGUCUUGUUGCUAACUUAACUGUAUGCACAAGAAAUCAUUUGCUCUUCAAACACUAUUUAAGAAAAUCAGUAAUUUUUAUUUUUGUCACAUUUUCCCAAGAUUUUCAAAGAAAUAUUCUGUUAGUAAGGGAUCAUUCUAAAUAUAUUGUUUGGAAAUGAACUUUCAUGUCCUUUGACGUAUAAGCCAAAAAAAAAAAAAAAGUUCCAGAAUAAAUGUCAUUAUAUGCCGAGAAUUCUAAAUCAUAUGUAUUCACAAUACUAUACAUAAACAUUACUGUUAUCCUUAAUUUUUUUCAGAGGGAAAUGAUACAUAAAGGAAUUGAAUAAAUUUUGCAAUCAUAUAGCUUGUAAGGGUGGAACUAGGCUAAAAACUCAGAUAGUUUAUCUCUAGAACACACACUCUAAAUCAUAAUAAAACACUGCUUUGCAGAAGUAUGAGUAAAAAUCAACUAGAAAUAAAGAGUUUUAGAAAACUUAAAUAUUGCAUGACCUAGAAGAAACUUUUAGUAUUUGAACUGAUAGAUUAUGAGAUCAAUUAACUUGUGGCUUUUGUAAUGCAGGAUGUUAGCUUCCACAGUGGUAAGUUAAUAUGAUAUCAAUAAAAUUUCCCACAUGUAAAAUUUACAUUUCUAAACUUUAAGUGACUUUAAAAAUAACAGAAAUCAACCACAGGAAAAGAAGUGAAAAAAAACCUACUACAUGGAGACUAAACAACAUGCUACUAAAAAACUAGUGGGUCAAUGAGGAAAUCAAGAAGGAAAUUAAAAAAUACUUCGAGACAAAUGAUAAUGAAGACACAACCACUCAAAAUCAAUGAGAUGCUGCAAAAGCAGUGCUCAGAAGGAAGUUCAUAGCAAUACAGGCCUUCCUCAAAAAAGAAGAAAAAUCUCAAAUUGACAACUUAACCCAUCACCUAAAUGAAUUAGAAAAAGAACAAGCAAAACCUAAAGUCAACAGAAGGAAGGAAAUCGUAAAGAUCAAAGAGGAAAUCAAUAAAAUAGAGAUUCAAAAAACAACAGACAUUGCCAAAUUCAUUGAUGAGCUCUAACAGUUUUCUGGUAGAGUCUUUAGGAUUCUCUAGGUAUAGUAUCAUGUCACCUGCAAAUAGCAAUAGUAUUACUUCUUCCCUUCCAAUUUGAAAACCUUCUAUCUCUUUUACAUCUUUGACUGCUGUAGCUAGGAAUUCCAAAAUUAUAUUGAAUAGUAGUGAGAGAGGACAUCCUUAUCUUGUUCCUGAUCUCAGCGGGAAUUCUUUCAGCUUUUCACCAUUGAGAAUGAUGUUAGCUGCGGGUUUGUCAUAUAUGGCCUUUAUGAUAUUGAGGUAGGUUCCCUCUAUGCCCACUUUCUGAAGGGUUUUUUAUCAGAAAUGGGUAUUGGAUUUUGUCAAAGGCUUUUUCUGCAUCUAUUGAGAGGAUCAUAUGGUUUUUAUUCUUCAGUUUGUUAAUGUUGUGUAUCACACUGAUGGAUUUGCAGAUACUGAAGAAGCCUUGCAUCCCUGGGAUAAAUCCCACUCAAUCAUGACGUACAAUACUUUUAAAGUAUUGUUGGAUGAGGUUUUGCUAGUAUUUUGUUGAGGAUUUUUGCAUCUAUGUUCAUCACUGAAAUAUGCCUGUAGUUUUCUUUUUUUGUGGUAUCUUUGUCUAGUUUUGGUAUCAGGGUGAUGGUGGCCUCAUAGAAUGAGUUUGGGAGUAUUUCUUCCUCUGCAAUUUUUUGAAAUAGUUUCAGAAGGAUAGGUAUUAGCUCUUCUCCAAAUUUUUGAUAGAAUUCACCUGUGAAGCCAUCUGGUCCUGGACUUUUGUUUGUUGGAAGUUUUUAAAUCACAGUUUCAAUUUCAGUUCUUAUGAUUGGUCCAUUCAUUUUUUCUAUUUCAUCUUGGUUUAGUCUUGGAAGAUUGUACCUUUCUAAGAAUUUGUCCAUUUCUUCUAGGUUUUCCAUUUUAUUGGCAUAUAACUGCUACAGUAGUCUCUUAUGAACCUUGGUAUUUCUGUGGUGUCUGUUGUUACUUCUCCUUUUUCAUUUCUAAUUUUAUUGAUUUGAGUCCUCUCUCUUUAUUUCUUGAUAAGUCUGGCUAAGGGUUUAUCAAUUUUGUUGAUCUUUUCAAAGAACCAGCUUUUCAUUUAAUUGAUCUUUUCUAUGGUUUUCUUCCUUUCUAUUUUAUUGAUUUCUUCUCUGAUCUUUAUGAUAUCUUUCCCUCUACUAACUUUAGGUUUUGUCUGUUCUUCUCUCUUGAGCUGCUUUAGAUGUUAAGUUAGCUCGUUUAUUUGAGCUUUUUCUUGUUUCCUGAGGUGGGCUUGUAUUGCUAUAAACUUUCCUCUUAAAUCGGCUUUUGUUACAUCCCAUAGGUUUUGGAGUGUUGUAUCUUUGUUGUCAUUUG
RNAcentral lists this long non-coding RNA (3729 nucleotides) under Sus scrofa (pig). RNAcentral describes it as "lncRNA (ENSSSCG00000042509.1, ENSSSCG00065023951.1)". The record is from RNAcentral. Lineage: Eukaryota; Metazoa; Chordata; Mammalia; Artiodactyla; Suidae.